RNAcentral lists this ribosomal RNA (345 nucleotides) under uncultured soil bacterium. Its description in RNAcentral is "bacterial SSU rRNA". It matches the Rfam family "Bacterial small subunit ribosomal RNA", at positions 8 to 352 of the family's 1533-position model. The record is from RNAcentral.
AGAGUUUGAUCAUGGCUCAGGAUUAACGCUAGCGGCAGGCCUAAUACAUGCAAGUCGAGGGGUAACAGGGUAGCAAUAUCGCUGACGACCGGCGCACGGGUGCGUAACACGUAUGCAACAUACCUAUAACUGGGGAAUAGCCUUCCGAAAGGAAGAUUAACACCGCAUAAUACUACAGAGGGGCAUCUUUUUGUAGUCAAACCUCCGGGGGUUAUAGAUUGGCAUGCGUUCGAUUAGUUAGUUGGCGAGGUAAUGGCUCACCAAGACUACGAUCGAUAGGGGUUCUGAGAGGAAGAUCCCCCACACUGGUACUGAGACACGGACCAGACUCCUACGGGAGGCAGC